This is a long non-coding RNA of Armigeres subalbatus, 1354 nucleotides long. RefSeq lists it as uncharacterized. The transcript has 4 exons. NCBI's taxonomy places the organism in Eukaryota, Metazoa, Arthropoda, Insecta, Diptera, Culicidae. The record is from RefSeq and is a predicted model, not a curated record.
CGCCGAUUUGCAAUUGUAAAUACCAUUUAGCCCUUUUUCAUACAGUUUGAUAAUGGUUGUUUUAUCAUUAAAAAUACUGUAAGACUACUGAGAAAAAUGAUGCUUACGUAAGGUGAAGUACGAUUGUAUCCAACCCGUUCAGAUGUGGUUGCGAAGCGAAAUCUGCAGUUCAAGACAAAAUUUUCAAAACCAUCGGGAAAUCUACAAUGGUAAUUAAAUUUUCACCGUAAACUUGGAUAAAACUAGCGACAAGUCCAGCGUAGCUUGAUAUACCGGCGGCUAGAUGAGGAACGGUAGUUCAACUUCAAAAAGAGCGACGUUGGAACUUGAAAAUUCCGUGUUUAUUUAAUUCCACCAGAAGAGAAAUUACCGAGUUUAAUAUCAAAUCGAGUGAAAUGCGACAAAAUAUAGAAUCGUAUGGCUUCUUGAUUCAUAAUCUAGGAAACAACAAGUUUUUACGGUAGACGGAUGAUAACUAAAACUAUGGGAUUAUCCAUAUAACACUCUCGCUGAGGAAGCCACUAAAAAACGGUAUUAUGUGCACUUUAGUUAACGAUGACCGACAAGCAAAAUCUGGAGAUAAAAAAAUAAUAUUAGUCGUGCAUCAAUAACAUGAUUACAACAAUUCAUUCAAUCAUCUACAUAAUCACAGUACUACUACGAUUGGCCGCAGACGUUUGCCGAAAACUUAACUAACAAGCUCAUACUGACCAAAUUGAUUAUCGGAUUGAUACGGAUACCUUACUGAGAACGCGCACCCUCUCAAGAGUAUGUAUUUUGAUUGCCACCAGGCUAAGCAAGUGUCUUAAACAAUAAGCUUUCUCGUGAACUAAAUUCAAUGCAUUUGAAUAAGUUAUUCAUCACACAGCACAAUCAACUAAUUCGCAAAAUAAUCAAAAAUCAAGACCAUUGAAUUGCUCAAUGCAUUAUUUCGGAAUAAUUUAUUAUCUCGGUGGUCCUUCGGAUUGCUAAACACGCAUCGACUUAGAAGGAUCAAUAUAAUAUUAGUGACCAGCCAGAACUGUCUUCUGUUCAAGAUGCACUAACUCGUUUGAAUGCCGAUCAUCUAACGGAUCAUUUGGAUACACUAAUUAUUCCAACCCGGCUUGAUACUUGAUUAACAGCAUGUGCUCCUGGAACGAAGGACGUAACCAUCAAUUGGCACCGCUUACGAAUUGGGAUUAGCCGAUUUGAAGAAAUAAUCUACUCAAGACCUUCCAAUAAUGAUUCACUAGAUCAAGUACGACAUCAGCAACAUUCCGACUCAGAUUAGCGAAUAUUAUGGCUCAACAGUCUAAUGAUAACACAACAAGGUAAUGUUUUUUUUUUAUUACUAUUAUUAUUAUUAUUAUUU